AAAGCCCGCAAGGGUGAGUACAGCGGCGCACGGGUGCGUAACACGUGGGUAAUCUUCCUCGGAGCCCGGAAUAACUCCCCGAAAGGGGUGCUAAUGCCGGAUGAGACCACGGGAUCUUUGGAUCCUGAGGGAAAAGGCGGCCUCUGUACACCAGCUGUCACUCCCAGAUGAGCCCGCGGCCCAUCAGCUAGUUGGCGGGGUAACGGCCCACCAAGGCUACGACGGGUAGCUGGUCUGAGAGGACGAUCAGCCACACUGGAACUGAGACACGGUCCAGACUCCUACGGGAGGCAGCAGUGGGGAAUCUUGCGCAAUGGGCGAAAGCCUGACGCAGCAACGCCGCGUGUGUGAUGAAGGUCUUCGGAUCGUAAAGCACUGUCGGGAGGGACGAAUAAGGCGGCGGCUAACAUCCGCAGCUGAUGACGGUACCUCCAAAGGAAGCACCGGCUAACUCUGUGCCAGCAGCCGCGGUAAUACAGAGGGUGCAAGCGUUGUUCGGAAUUAUUGGGCGUAAAGCGCGUGUAGGCGGCCUUGCAAGUUGGGUGUGAAAGCCCUCGGCUUAACCGAGGAAGUGCGCCCAAAACUACAGGGCUUGAGUACCGGAGAGGGUGGCGGAAUUCCCGGUGUAGAGGUGAAAUUCGUAGAUAUCGGGAGGAACACCAGUGGCGAAGGCGGCCACCUGGACGGAUACUGACGAUGAGACGCGAAAGCGUGGGUAGCAAACAGGAUUAGAUACCCUGGUAGUCCACGCUGUAAACGAUGAGCGCUAGGUGUUGUGGGUGUUGACCCCCGCAGUGCCGCAGCUAACGCAUUAAGCGCUCCGCCUGGGGAGUACGGCCGCAAGGCUAAAACUCA
This 855-nucleotide ribosomal RNA is filed under the name uncultured bacterium. RNAcentral's name for it is "bacterial SSU rRNA". It matches the Rfam family "Bacterial small subunit ribosomal RNA", at positions 72 to 903 of the family's 1533-position model. The record is from RNAcentral.